GAAUAUUGGUCAAUGGGCGCAAGCCUGAACCAGCCAUGCCGCGUGCAGGAUGACGCAUCUAUGGUGUGUAAACUGCUUUUGUACAGGAAGAAACAGUUCUUUGCGAAGAACCUUGACGGUACUGUAAGAAUACGGAUCGGCUAACUCCGUUCCCGCAGCCGCGGUAAUACGGAGGAUCCAAGCGUUAUCCGGAAUCAUUGGGUUUAAAGGGUCCGUAGGCGGCCUUAUAAGUCAGCGGUGAAAGUUUUUGGCUUAACCAAAAAAUUGCCAUUGAUACUGUAGGGCUUGAAUGUUUGUGAAGUAACUAGAAUAUGUAGUGUAGCGGUGAAAUGCUUAGAUAUUACAUGGAAUACCAAUUGCGAAGGCAGGUUACUAACAAAUGAUUGACGCUGAUGGACGAAAGCGUGGGUAGCGAACAGG
RNAcentral lists this ribosomal RNA (420 nucleotides) under uncultured bacterium. RNAcentral describes it as "bacterial SSU rRNA". It matches the Rfam family "Bacterial small subunit ribosomal RNA", at positions 359 to 776 of the family's 1533-position model. The record is from RNAcentral.